Toxorhynchites rutilus septentrionalis is the source of this 552-nucleotide long non-coding RNA. RefSeq lists it as uncharacterized. The transcript is spliced from 2 exons. The record is from RefSeq and is a predicted model, not a curated record. Lineage: Eukaryota; Metazoa; Arthropoda; Insecta; Diptera; Culicidae.
CUCCGUUCCAUAAUAAAUAACCAUUGCUGCUUCGCAGCCUGACUUUAGUGUCUUGGAAUUACAUUUCCCUAAAGACAGGUAACCAUCAACAGAUUCACAGGACCGCACUCGUGUGGCUUUCACAACACUCCCCAAGCGGGGGAGGCGAGCGUCGGAAGCGGAAGAUUGGAAUCUCGAAAUUGGCCGGGAAAAAGAGGAAGAGAAAACAUAAACACGCCGAGAGCGCAACGAAACUCCCGCCGCCACUUACGGCGGAAGUUGCUGCUGCUGUUGCUGCUGGGUCAUAGCAAAGAGAGAAGAGAGAAAGAGUGAAACAUAUUAGCCACAGGCCGCGGAAAAGUGCAAAGUCAAAGUCUGGAGUCCUGCGGUACACUGGAAGGGAAGCUUUACACAAGUUUGAAUUUUUAAAGGGAAGAUGCGUUCAGUGUUGCAGAUUUUGGGGUCUCUGGACGUUUGAUGAUCUUUUUCAUCUAAUACAUAUUAGUUUUAUGUGUAAUCUUGUAACAAAUUUAUAACUAGAGAUGAACUGAAUACAGUGAAACUUCGAUAUAA